RNAcentral lists this ribosomal RNA (253 nucleotides) under uncultured bacterium. RNAcentral describes it as "partial 16S ribosomal RNA". It matches the Rfam family "Bacterial small subunit ribosomal RNA", at positions 524 to 776 of the family's 1533-position model. The record is from RNAcentral.
UACGUAGGGGGCAAGCGUUGUCCGGAAUUAUUGGGCGUAAAGAGCGCGUAGGCGGUCCGAUAAGUCGGCUGUGAAAGUCAGGGGCUCAACCCUUGAAAGCCGGCCGAUACUGUCGGACUAGAGUCCGGAAGAGGCAAGUGGAAUUCCCGGUGUAGCGGUGAAAUGCGCAGAUAUCAGGAGGAACACCGAUGGCGAAGGAAGAUCUCUGGGCCGUAACUGACGCUGAGGAGCGAAAGCAUGGGGAGAGAACAGG